GAUGAACGCUGGCGGCGUGCCUAAUACAUGCAAGUCGAGCGGACGGACGAGAAGCUUGCUUUUCUGAUGUUAGCGGCGGACGGGUGGGUAACGCGUGGAUCACCUACCUCUAAUACGUGGAUCACUUCGGGAAACCGGAGCUAAUACCGGAGAAUAUUUUGAACCGCAUUGUUCAAAAGUGAAUGACGGUCUUGCCGUCUCUAAUAGAUGAAUCCGCGCUGCAUUAUCUAGUUGGUAAGGUAACGGCUUACCAAGGCAACGAUGCGUAGCUGACCUGAUAGGAUGAUCGGCCACACUGGAACUGAGACACGGUCCAGACUCCUACGGGAGGCAGCAGUAGGGAAUAUUCAGCAAUGGGCGAAAGCCUGACACAGCAACACCGCGUGGGUGAAGAAGGUCUUCGGAUCGUAAAGCCCUGUUGUUAGGAAAGAAAAGCUGCAGAAUAAAAUGUGGCUGUUCUGACGGUACCUAAAAAAAAAGCAACGGCUAACUACGUG
Molecule: ribosomal RNA, 497 nt
Filed under: uncultured bacterium
Lineage: Bacteria
Description: partial 16S ribosomal RNA
Rfam family: Bacterial small subunit ribosomal RNA
Source: RNAcentral